GGAACUGGGACUAAAGCUAAAGAUUUAUCAUCACAACCAUUAUCACCAGAAGACUCUUCAACAGACAGCUUACAUGAGUCAUCUAGAGAUUUAGCAACUUUUCCACAAAUUGAGCAACUCCGUUUCAUGAUACUCCCCAAACUAUUCGGACGGGCCAUAACUAAGGCCCGCUCUAAAAUCUGGUUGUUACCCUCAUCAUACUUUAAGGCCUCAUCAGUACCGCUUUCAUUUAGGACUUUGGAAUUCUUACUUAAUGAAAUUGACCUUUGAAUCACAUUAAGAAGACCAUUUCGGCGAUCAUCUUCAGUUCCUACAACAAUUACAUGAUAAUUAAUUGUACUGCACAAGCAAAAAUUCGAUAUUUAGAAGCUCAAAAUAAGGUAAAAGAAUAAACCAAGCGAAUCACCACUUUUAGCUAGAGUGCCUUCUCUCUGAAACACAACUUUCCC
RNAcentral lists this unclassified non-coding RNA (449 nucleotides) under Hevea brasiliensis (rubber tree). The record is from RNAcentral. Lineage: Eukaryota; Viridiplantae; Streptophyta; Magnoliopsida; Malpighiales; Euphorbiaceae.